GUGGCUAGUUUGACCGCUCAUUUUGAAGUGGAGGCUGGCUUGACUGCAGUCACAAAACGGCUGAGCGGAGACACGGCAAAGUGGAGAGGAUCGCAAAUCGAGAAUAGGAAAGAAAACACUGAGAAACAUGGAGAGACGCUAGUUAGCUUGGAAACGCUCUAAGUGGACUAACGAAACUGAAGAGGUGUAGUUACACUACGGCACUUUUCCUGUCUAACAGCAGUGGUUUAGAACAAACGUAAUAGUGUGCCUGGCUAAAGUUGGAGCUGACGGACUAGCUAAAGUUGAAGCUAACUGACUAGCUAGCUAGCUAAAGUUUGAGCUAACGGCGGAGAGUUGCUGGUUCGGAGGACGCUGAUUUUGGACCGGAGAGGACGACAGCGUGUCUCCCUGCUGAAGAGGACUUUGCCAUAGCUGGUGACUGGUUUUCGUUUUCGUGUUCGUGUUUGAGCUGUGUUUCUUGGACUAACAGCUAACUGGUAUGUCAACAGAGGGCCAAACACAGAGCCAUUGUCAGAAAAUCCAUCCGACACCAGUCAAUAUUCAGCCAAUCCAAGAUGUCCCUUUUCAACUGGAUGCGAUUUGUGUACAGGUUUGCACAAGGCCUACGAUUAAGACAAAUCGACAUGAUGACAGAUGACAUUGUUGCAAGCACAACUACACUGUCAAAGAUGGCAAAAAAGCUGCGAGAUGGCAAGCCUGUGUUGAGGCAAUGGAGAGAAGAAAAAGAAGAAAAUGACAGAGGCUGGGAGGGCAGAACGAGUUUGUGGUUAUUGAUGAAAGUCACUUCAGACACAAAAGAAAGUACGGACAUGGAAGAAUUGCUGGUGGGUGGAAAAGGAAGAAGUGGGUGUUUGGGAUGCUUGGUGUGAAGCAUAGAGGACAGAGGACCAUGCCUGUUCUCCGCCUGGUGGAAAGACGGACCAGACGAGAGCUGGUCCCACUGAUUAUCCACUACGUUCGUAGUGGAUCCACAAUAUUAAGUGAUGAGUGGUGGGCCUACCGUCAGGCUCUGCCUGCAUUUGGAUACAGGCAUUACACAGUUAACCACAGUGUGACAUAUGUCAAUGAUGAAACGGGCUGCCACACUCAACACAUUGAGAGGGCCUGGAGGAGCUACAAGGAGACAAUCAGUAGACUCAGAGGGAAUCGCACAGAGGACCUGCUAAGAGACCAUCUGAUUGUGAUUGAGUGGAAUGAAUGGUUGGGUAAAAAACACCGUAAUGGCCCCCCAGGUACGCCUGCUCCACAAUAUUGCUAAGCAAUAUAAAUAGAAAUACAUGUAAAGUUUUGGGAGCUUGUGAUGUUAAUCACUUUGGGUCAUUUAUUGUUUAUUGGGGCCUCUAAAGUACCCAUACCCCUGUAUUUAGAUUAUUGUAUUUGUAUCAUUAAUUUUAUUUAAAAAUUAAGGUGCCAUUGUUAAGUUUUUGUAUUAACUUUGUUUUAGUAAUCCCUUUGUUUUUGUCUCCCACUGUGCUCUUUGUUGCAUGACAAUGACUUUCUUCACAAAUGGGUUCAAUUUACUGAUCGGACUAUAUUAUCAUUGCAAAAAUAAUCACUGUUUUAUGGACCACUAAUAAAAGAUUUAAGUGUACCCAUCAGUUUCAACUUUAUAAUAGGCAUUCCAAUUAUUCUUAUAGAUGGUUUACAAAGUAUUUAACUAUUAAACAAGGUAU
Perca fluviatilis (European perch) is the source of this 1676-nucleotide RNA transcript. RefSeq lists it as uncharacterized. The record is from RefSeq and is a predicted model, not a curated record. The transcript has 4 exons. NCBI's taxonomy places the organism in Eukaryota, Metazoa, Chordata, Actinopteri, Perciformes, Percidae.